ACAGGUGCUGCAUGGCUGUCGUCAGCUCGUGUCGGUGAGAUGUUGGGUUAAGUCCCGCAACGAGCGCAACCCUUGCCUUUAGUUGCCAGCAGUUCGGCUGGGCACUCUAAAGGGACUGCCGGUGUUAAACCGGAGGAAGGUGGGGAUGACGUCAAGUCCUCAUGGCCUUUAUGACCAGGGCUACACACGUACUACAAUGGCCGAUACAAAGGGCAGCGACACUGCGAGGUGAAGCCAAUCCCGUAAAAUCGGUCUCAGUCCGGAUUGGAGUCUGCAACUCGACUCCAUGAAGUUGGAAUCGCUAGUAAUCGUGGAUCAGCAUGCCACGGUGAAUACGUUCCCGGGCCUU
RNAcentral lists this ribosomal RNA (349 nucleotides) under uncultured Desulfobulbus sp. Its description in RNAcentral is "bacterial SSU rRNA". It matches the Rfam family "Bacterial small subunit ribosomal RNA", at positions 1034 to 1382 of the family's 1533-position model. The record is from RNAcentral. Lineage: Bacteria; Pseudomonadati; Thermodesulfobacteriota; Desulfobulbia; Desulfobulbales; Desulfobulbaceae.